GGCCUGGUGGGGUAGUGGGAACACCUCUGCUCUACUUAAAAUGUCCAAGAUGUUCUUGCAGGAGGGCCUUGUCCGAGUCAAGGCUGGGCCA
Mycena vulgaris is the source of this 91-nucleotide non-coding RNA. NCBI's taxonomy places the organism in Eukaryota, Fungi, Basidiomycota, Agaricomycetes, Agaricales, Mycenaceae. The record is from the annotation of a GenBank genome assembly.